GUUAGCCAGAUGAUAGCGCGCAGGGGUAACCUUGUGUGAGGAAAGUCCGAGCACCACAGGACAAGUGCGCUUGAUAACGUCAAGCUAGGGUGACCUAAGGAAAAGGGCAACAGAGAUAAACCGCCAACCGCCCAAACGGGUAGGGGCAAGGGUGGAAAAGUGGGGUAAGAGCCCACUCGUGGCAUUGGUGACAACGCCUCGCUGUAAACUCCGCACGGUGCAAGAUGUAGGGCAUUAAGGGCUGUCCGCUCGCCCUCAAUAUCGCAUAGAGUUACGUGGCAACACGUAAACAAGAUUGAUUAUCAUCUAAAACAGAACUCGGCUUACAGACUAACUUU
RNAcentral lists this RNase P RNA (338 nucleotides) under human gut metagenome. RNAcentral describes it as "Bacterial RNase P class A". It matches the Rfam family "Bacterial RNase P class A". Rfam says of the family: Ribonuclease P (RNase P) is a ubiquitous endoribonuclease, found in archaea, bacteria and eukarya as well as chloroplasts and mitochondria. The record is from RNAcentral.